RNA transcript from Nomascus leucogenys (northern white-cheeked gibbon), 470 nucleotides. It is a transcript of the gene named RPP38 divergent transcript, with no coding region annotated. The record is from RefSeq and is a predicted model, not a curated record. Lineage: Eukaryota; Metazoa; Chordata; Mammalia; Primates; Hylobatidae. The transcript has a single exon.
AUGGAAUCCCUGCAGACUCCCCAGCACCGUGAAAAUCAAGAUAAAAGGGAGAAGGAGUGUGGGGUAAAACACAUGCCUAUGGGAAAUAAUGCAGGGAAUCUUGAGCCCCGAAAAGAGAAAGGCAGUAACAGUUGCCUUGAGUUCAGCAACAGCUGCCCAGAAUAUCCCGUCCAGUGUCCACUGUGGCUGCUCCAAGCAAUGGAGACUAAAGUUACCAUCGGAGUCGCUGCAAAGUCGGGGACAAGUGAUGAAGCGGCCGAAUAACAUUUUAAAGCUCAGAAAUCUGGAUCUGUUGAUCUACCCUUGGCCAGAACUUAGAAGACUGCAGGUUGCUUCUGACCUAAUGAGCCUCCUCCUUCUCCCCGCUUUUUCCGGCCUCACUUGGGCCCCCUUCCUUUUCCUCUUCUACAUAUCUGCCUCCUUUUCUCAAUCUCCUCACUGUUCAUUUUGUUUCCUAUUUUCUGGUAUAG